CUCUGUUUUGCUACACAUGGAUUUCUUCACAUGACAGCUCAGCUCCUCUGAUGGGAGGAGUAUACCGGGUGGAGAGAAGAAACUUGGAGCAGAGAAAAGUCAUGUUUUUAGAGACAGUGAAGGUUUACAUGGGUGCAAACGACCUCCAGCAUUCCAGACCCACUGAUGGUUCUACAAAGAGACCAGAGUCAUUCUUGAAGCCCAGGCCACCUUGGCAGGACAGCCACAUUUGCAAUGAAGUGCUUGAAUGAGAUAUUUGCCGCUGUUUGUGUCUGUGGAUGUGUUUAGUUCAUGGGUUCUUUCUGAUGAGUAUGUACCUGACCAUAGCACUGAAACUUAAAUGAGGUAGGAUUCAACAUGAAAAUAUUUUCUUUGAUUAUUUGACUAACACUUAUUUAAGUU
RNAcentral lists this long non-coding RNA (402 nucleotides) under Mustela putorius furo (domestic ferret). Its description in RNAcentral is "lncRNA (ENSMPUG00000026241.1)". The record is from RNAcentral. Lineage: Eukaryota; Metazoa; Chordata; Mammalia; Carnivora; Mustelidae.